This 1412-nucleotide ribosomal RNA is filed under the name metagenome. RNAcentral's name for it is "bacterial SSU rRNA". It matches the Rfam family "Bacterial small subunit ribosomal RNA". The record is from RNAcentral.
UUGGCUCAGGAUGAACGCUGGCGGCGUGCUUAACACAUGCAAGUCGAACGAGCCUUCGGGCUGGUGGCGGACGGGUGAGUAACGCGUGAGAAUCUGCCCUCAGGAGGGGGAUAACGGCUGGAAACGGCCGCUAAUACCCCAUAUGCCGCGAGGUGAAACGAGUUUUCGCCUGAGGAUGAGCUCGCGUCUGAUUAGCUAGUUGGUGGGGUAAGAGCCUACCAAGGCAUCGAUCAGUAGCUGGUCUGAGAGGAUGAUCAGCCACACUGGGACUGAGACACGGCCCAGACUCCUACGGGAGGCAGCAGUGGGGAAUUUUCCGCAAUGGGCGCAAGCCUGACGGAGCAACGCCGCGUGAGGGAUGAAGGCCUCUGGGCUGUAAACCUCUUUUCUCAAGGAAGAAGAACUGACGGUACUUGAGGAAUAAGCCACGGCUAAUUCCGUGCCAGCAGCCGCGGUAAUACGGGAGUGGCAAGCGUUAUCCGGAAUUAUUGGGCGUAAAGCGUCCGCUGGCGGUCUUGAAAGUCUGUUGUUAAAGCGUGGAGCUCAACUCCAUUUCAGCAAUGGAAACUAGAAGACUAGAGUGUGGUAGGGGCAGAGGGAAUUCCCGGUGUAGCGGUGAAAUGCGUAGAUAUCGGGAAGAACACCAGUGGCGAAGGCGCUCUGCUGGGCCAUAACUGACGCUCAUGGACGAAAGCCAGGGGAGCGAAAGGGAUUAGAUACCCCUGUAGUCCCGGCCGUAAACGAUGAACACUAGGUGUCGGGGGAAUCGACCCCCUCGGUGUCGUAGCUAACGCGUUAAGUGUUCCGCCUGGGGAGUACGCACGCAAGUGUGAAACUCAAAGGAAUUGACGGGGGCCCGCACAAGCGGUGGAGUAUGUGGUUUAAUUCGAUGCAACGCGAAGAACCUUACCAGGGUUUGACAUCCUGCGAAUCUUUUGGAAACAGAAGAGUGCCUUCGGGAGCGCAGAGACAGGUGGUGCAUGGCUGUCGUCAGCUCGUGUCGUGAGAUGUUGGGUUAAGUCCCGCAACGAGCGCAACCCACGUCUUUAGUUGCCAGCAUUAGGUUGGGCACUCUAGAGAGACCGCCGGUGAUAAACCGGAGGAAGGUGUGGAUGACGUCAAGUCAUCAUGCCCCUUACAUCCUGGGCUACACACGUACUACAAUGCUACGGACAAAGGGCAGCAAACUCGCGAGAGCUAGCAAAUCCCAUAAACCGUGGCUCAGUUCAGAUCGUAGGCUGCAACUCGCCUACGUGAAGGAGGAAUCGCUAGUAAUCGCAGGUCAGCAUACUGCGGUGAAUACGUUCCCGGGCCUUGUACACACCGCCCGUCACACCAUGGAAGUUGGCCAUGCCCGAAGUCGUUACUCCAACCCUUGUGGAGGAGGACGCCGAAGGUGGGGCUGAUGACUG